ACCUUCUGUUGCUUCGGCGGGCCCGUCCGUGAGGACCGCCGGGGGACCGUCACACGUCCUCUGGCCCGCGCCCGUCGGUGGCCGCUUAACCAAAUUCUUGAAUAAAUCGUGUUCUUGUCUGAGUUCAAAUCUUGAAUUACAAGUAAAAACUUUCAACAACGGAUCUCUUGGUUCUGGCAUCGAUGAAGAACGCAGCGAAAUGCGAUAAGUAAUGCGAAUUGCAGAAUUCUAGUGAGUCAUCGAAUCUUUGAACGCACAUUGCGCCCUUUGGUAUUCCGAAGGGCAUGCCUGUUCGAGCGUCAUUAUCACCCCUCAAGCCCCCGUGGUUUGGUGUUGGACGGUCGGCCUCUUCACCGAGGCCCCUCCCAAAGUUAAUGACGGCGGCCUGUCUGACCCCCGGUACACUGAGCUUCUUCAUUGAGCACGUACCGGUCCUUUUGUGGUUGGCAGCUCCCGGUCUCUGUGUUCCCGUCAUGGGACACCCCUUUUUUCAAGGUUGGCC
RNAcentral lists this ribosomal RNA (502 nucleotides) under Rhinocladiella aquaspersa. RNAcentral describes it as "eukaryotic LSU rRNA". The stretch from base 148 to 302 matches the Rfam family "5.8S ribosomal RNA". The record is from RNAcentral. Lineage: Eukaryota; Fungi; Ascomycota; Eurotiomycetes; Chaetothyriales; Herpotrichiellaceae.